This 413-nucleotide unclassified non-coding RNA is filed under the name Bahianthus viscosus. RNAcentral's name for it is "partial contains external transcribed spacer and 18S ribosomal RNA". The record is from RNAcentral. Lineage: Eukaryota; Viridiplantae; Streptophyta; Magnoliopsida; Asterales; Asteraceae.
UUGGCUUGUUACCGGUGGUCGGCUGUGCACAACUUCCACCUGACAUGCCUAUUCGUUUGUCCGUUAAGGCUUUGAUUGCCUGAACAAACUGUGGGUUUCCUGUGUUGCUUGCCUAACAAACGGUAUUGAUUUGGCUUAUUGAAGUUUCGUUCGUCUUUCGUCAUGCRGAUGACAUUAGAUGAACCCUAAUCAUGUCUCUUUGAACCACAUCAUUAAUGCUUGUGUUGAUGUAGUGGCGCAUUGAGCCUUGCUUGGUCUCUUUGAUGUAGUGCUUGAUGUGGGCAUGGGUCUAUUGUGAUCCUUGKWAUGUCCCUGAUUAGUGUUUACGCUUCGUAAAAUGGUAAAAUGACUGCUCGACACGUGUUGGCUCGUAAAAGCGUGUAGGGCUUUGUCUAAAAGGAAUGUUACCUGGU